This 513-nucleotide long non-coding RNA is filed under the name Mytilus galloprovincialis (Mediterranean mussel). Lineage: Eukaryota; Metazoa; Mollusca; Bivalvia; Mytilida; Mytilidae. The record is from RNAcentral.
CCUUGACAGGAAUGAUUCCAUUCAUCUUGCACUCUGAACGCCCUGUACUACCUUGUAUACAUACAUAUUGUGAUGGGGGGGGGGGGGGGAGGUUGUUAAAACAGUAGUUAUUUUAUCUUCAAACAGACAUGAAAUAUGAUAUCAUAGUGAUUUAUAGUCUUCGAACAUGUGUGUCACGUGAAAUUUGAUAUGUUACCAUUCGGAGAUACAAUCAGCAAACUCGUUCUCAAAGUUAAACAUUUUAAAAUCAAAUUUCUAAAGUCUUAUUUCACUUAUUAAACAGGAAAUAUUAUUUAACAGGAAUAUCAACUAAUAUUUCCUCUUCAUUAUAGUGUGCGGUAGCAUUUUAUGAGGUAAUUCGAUGUUUUCAUACCACUGUUCAUUUCAACGCACUUUAUGACAAUACCACAAUAGCAAUCGGAGUGAAAUUGUUCGCAGUGUUUUAAGAAAUGAUUUUACGUUGUAUUUACGUAUAAUUUGUGAAUCAUUUAUUGUUAUAAAAGGGCGAUUUUU